GAAAGGGGGGGGGAGGGGUGGGUGUGAGUACGGAGGGGGUGAGAGGUAAUCGGAACUACGGGGCGUAAAGGGGGCGCAGGGGGAAGAGCAAGUGGAGUGUGAAAGCCCCGGGCUUAACUUGGGAAUUGCGCUCGAAACUACUGUGCUGGAGUGUGGCAGAGGAAGGUGGAAUUCCACGUGUAGCGGUGAAAUGCGUAGAGAUGUGGAGGAACACCAAUGGCGAAGGCAGCCUUCUGGGCCAACACUGACGCUCAUGCACGAAAGCGUGGGGAGCAAACAGGAUUAGAUACCCGAGUAGUC
This 300-nucleotide ribosomal RNA is filed under the name uncultured Haloquadratum sp. Its description in RNAcentral is "partial 16S ribosomal RNA". The stretch from base 52 to 300 matches the Rfam family "Bacterial small subunit ribosomal RNA", at positions 547 to 795 of the family's 1533-position model. The record is from RNAcentral. Lineage: Archaea; Methanobacteriati; Methanobacteriota; Halobacteria; Halobacteriales; Haloferacaceae.